Lepus europaeus (European hare) is the source of this 610-nucleotide long non-coding RNA. RefSeq lists it as uncharacterized. The transcript is spliced from 3 exons. The record is from RefSeq and is a predicted model, not a curated record. Lineage: Eukaryota; Metazoa; Chordata; Mammalia; Lagomorpha; Leporidae.
CGGCACGCGAUCUCCACGUUGACCUCCCCGGCGAAGGUGAAGUUCUCCAUGAAGGCGCGGCGCGCAGUCCUCCGGGUGGGAUGUGCUCGCGGCGGCGGCGGCGGUAGCAGCGGCGGCAGCACGGGAGGCGCCCGAGCCAUGCACCCCGCAGCCGGAGAGGAGAGGAGAGGAGAGGCUGGCCGGGAGUGCUGGAGGGAGAGACUGGAGGGAAUCAGCCGGCGGCCGGUCCCAGGGCCGCGGAGCUACGCCGGGGAGCUGUCCUGGAGCCUGGAGGAGCCUUCUCCUCCACCCCGGACACUUUCAGCAGCGGCGGCGGCGGCGUGAGGUGGCGAGCCCGGACGGCGGCGGCGGCAGCGGGCCUCCCUCGUUCCGGUGUUGCUCUGCCCUCCAGAGAUGACAAGUGAGGAAGAAGUGUCCGGCCCGGCCAUCCACUUCAGACACCCACAGCCACAGAGGGGGUUGCUGAGCCGCCUGCCAGAAGUACAUUGUAAAUCUUCCGCGCAACGAGCCCCGCAGUCACCCCUCUUGCCGACUCCUGAACCCCGCUGCGGCUCCCCGGAGGGACUGCUGGAGCCUGGGGUUGUUAACGUGGAGAGCCGAGGAAGAUCGU